GAUGCACUGAGACUUUGAUGCCUGAUUGGUCAGUCGUCGCGGGCGCCAUCCCGCCAGCCCCGAGGCCUGGUGUCUUUCUUUAACAGGGGCCUUUGGUGGGGCGCAAGAGAAGCCGGGAGACCGCGAAGGCAGCGGGAGAACUCUGAAGAAGGGUGAGCAGUAGGAAUCUGUGAAUGAUGAGACAAUAGUAGCCCACUUGCUACUGAGAUACUGCAGCUGUGUUUCUACUGGUGCAGCCAUCCAACAGAAGCCUGUGCUGUCACUGGAAAGGAAUUGAAAACAUACUGGUUUAGACUGCUGCUAGUCUCCUUGCGCAUCAGGGCUUUGCUACUGAGCAAGAUUUCUGAUGAGAUCUGCUAACUAGCUGAGAUCCGUGCCUGAUUUACCAGAUGGAAGAUUUAACUUGGUGCUGCUUGAGAACAGGGGCCAGUCUUGAGCUUCUAGUGUUAGCAUUUCAGUCCUGUAAGAGGGAAUCUAUGUCCUAUGUGGUAUGAAUGCAGCUGAGAUUUUACUGACAACAUUCUAGAAAGUCCCUACAAUAACAAGUCAUAAUCUCUCUGCCUCAGGGCCUUUCUUUGUUUAAAAUAAGUAUAAAACUUGCAUCUGCACCAUGAUUUGCAGUUCCUUUUUGAAAUAUGCAUAUUAAGAAUGAAGUGUUCGGCUCACUAAGAGUGUGCUUGUGAUGUGACACCACUGGAGCUCCAAGCUGGAUGUAGAAUAGCAACAGGUCAUGUAGUGUAUUUGCAGACCUAGACUAUUUGUGCAAUAAAGAUCUUGUACAAGAUGGGAUUGAAGAUGAGAAAUCUCUUAAUAGGUUCUGCAAGAACUUUCAUAAAAUAACCGUGUUUUAUGAUUUGAAAUUAUGGGAGUGAAAUCCAAAGAGUUUAAAGCUGGAAGAAUUAGCUACUAAUCUUACAUUUCUACAAAAUGACUGAACGAUUUCUGUUUUAUAGCCCUGAAGACAUAAUGGAGCCCUGGGGAUUUCUGACACAACAGGCUCUGAGAGCUGCUAGCACUUAGCAAAAUUGACUUCAGUUUAGCAAAAUUGACUUCAGUUUACCAAAAAAAAAAAAAAAAAAGAAAGAAAGAAAGAAAGAAAAAAGCUGUUUGGGAGGCUGCAGGGCAAGUAACUGUAUAAAUGGUUAAAGAAAUUUCAGCUCCUAGAGGAGGGUCUCAGUGACCUGUAAUGUCAGUAUGUAAUGGGCAAACAUAAAUGGAAGGGAACAUAAUUUAAGUGCUAGAAUGGUGGGAAAAAAAGCGAAAAUGAGGAGAGUAGAAAAAGUAAGUGCAGUGGCACUUUGCUUACCUUUUAUUAAAACAUUUCUUUAACAUAGUGUAUAUGAAUCUGCAAGCACAAUACAGACUAUGGCAUUAGAGUUAAGAGAACAGAAUUACGCUGUGUGCAUGAUCUGCAAUAUUUACAUGCUCUGCUACAGGGAAACAUUUACCCAUAUUCAGACUCAUGUUCCAGGGACUUUUGAGUCGUUUUCCUGAAGUCCUAGGUAAAAGGCAGCACUGAAUUAUAACCGAUACCCCAUGGUUCUCCAAGUACAUAGCCCUUCUUGUAUAGCCCUGGGAAAAAUCUCAGGUGAUUCUACACUACCAUGUAGAUUUGAAGUCCUCUUGGUUUGUCAUUUUCAUAGGGGUAAAUACAUUACAUUAUGUUCAGCUUACAACCAAUGCUAGAUGUUUUAAUAAGCAGGGGCAUAAGGGAGAUAAUCACCUUUUUGGUAGUUCCACAAAAAUGCCCAAUAUUAUAAGAACGAAGUCAGAAAAAUUAAAAUGGAACAAACAUUGAGGAAAACAGUUUUGAAAACUCUCAGUUUUCUUUGUGUGGAGAUUUAAGAAUGCAAGGAACCAUCUGUGUCACCAAAUCCAAUCUCCUGUUGUCACAGUCAGAACCUCAUACAUAUAAUUUAUCACAUACUUGUUUUUCUGAGGGUAAAUGUGCUACAAUUUAUGUCUCACAAUAAAUGUUUUUAUUUCAGUGGGACUUAAAUUAGUCACUUGUUGAUGCCAAGGGAAUUUAUCUGCAAUAGCAACUCCAGCAUUAUAAAACAGCCUGCAGCUUUUUCUAGCUGAAUAUGUCAUUGUAAACCAACAAAUUUUAAUCUUGGCUCUCUGAAUGUGUUGCCAUGCAUAUUCCUCCAUGACCAAAUGCCAGAAAGUUAGGAGUAGGAAUAGAUAUGAUUUUGAACAAGGAGCAGUUGAAAAAUACUUCUGUUUUCUUUUUCUGUGUAGUAUACUGGAAGGAGUAUAGUGGAGGGAAUAUGCUAACAUCUCUAACUUAGUUUUUAAUGUGAAUAUGAAUAAUCUCUUGGCUCAGCGUGGAAUGCUAGAUGACUGUGGCAGGAGGAAGAAAGCUGAAGCCUCAUGCAGUAGUCUAGUAUUAAAGUGUUAGGGCUUGUACUUUCUUCAAGGGGAUUAUAUAUGCAACAGAGUAUAUAUGUGUGUGUUGUAUAACAAAGGUGGAAUAAAAAAAAUAGGUAAAUAGUUCCAGCUGCUCUAACCCUUUAGUAGUUUUACAGAAUUUUGUUUUUUUAUUUUGCUCAGAGGCUGCUGAGAUAUAAUUCAAUUGAAGACUAAUUUACUAAUUAAUUACAAUUCAGCCAGAUAAUCAAUAGAGCAUUUCUCAGUCUUCUUUCUACGUGCAGAGAUAACUGUAAUCUUUUCCUGCAUUCUCAUGAAGCUCGUUAGCAAUUGUUGUUUUAAAUUCCUUCUAGAGGUUCCAGCCUACAUCUCUCAGCUCUUCAAACAUCUAAUUGUGUGAACUUGGUAAAACAAAGUCAAAGAUGAUUAUCUGUAUCAGGAUAUGUGAAUGCUGCUUAAUAAAAUUUGUCAUCUGAUGGGGAGAGGGGAACAGCUGCCAAAGGUCAUGCCUUUCAGGAAAACAGGUGGGACCAAUACGAAGAAAAUAUGAGCCAAAAAUCACACAGAGAGUUAUAAUCUACUAGCUUAAUGGCUGCCUUGUUCUGCCCAAAGGUAAAGAGCUAGCUAUCAGCCCCAUUUAUCAGGUACACCGCUUUGGUAUAAACUUGUUUAAAAUGGAGUAGAGCCCCUUUUUCAUCUUAAUUAGACAAUAACUCAUUGAUUCCAAGUGGGCCUUCUUUUUCUAAUUAUUUAGUACAUAAUAUAAUGUCAUUAAACAUCUUUGAGUGGACAGGAUUGCUCUAAAAGCUUUAGCUCCAGAGCUCCAAUAUUAGGCUUUUGGCAAUCAUCCCUGUGUGUGAAAAGCAGUCAGUUUGUUUACCAGGAAUUUAGAUUCACAUUACUGGGGGAAUUAGCAGUGAGCUAUUAGUCUGAUACAAGCACUUAACGAUUGCUGAUCAUCUCCUCCUAGCUUGCACAUAAUGGAGGUGAUCAGCUGUAAAUGGAAAGUAUGUGGGGCUAUUUUCAUGAAGGCACUUGGAGAAAGUGCUGUAUCCCGUGACCUCUGCUAACCCUACGGUUUGCAAGAAAUCCAAACACCAAAUCACUUCCUGGAGUGGAACUAAUCAGCCAUAAGAAGAGCUUCCAUUAGAGGCAAAACCAAGCUCAAACGGCCCUCCCUCAUCUGAAAAAAGGUUCAGCCACAAAGUCCCUGAGGUAGGUGAUUAGCCCCUGAUCAUAUUUACCAGUAUGCAUUUUGAUGGAGGAAGCAACUGUAGGGCAGCAGCUGGUUCUCAUUCCGUAGCAGUACUGAAUGACCGUAUCACGCUUAGUACCACCCGUUGGCUUCUUGCUUCGCUGUUGUCCUCAAAAGCUUUGUCUGGGACAUCCCAAAGAUUGAUUGGAGAGUUUUCUCUCAUGUUCCUGUGUAAUCAUAGAAUCAUAGAAUGGCCUGGGUUGAAAAGGACCUUAAA
Numida meleagris (helmeted guineafowl) is the source of this 3842-nucleotide long non-coding RNA. RefSeq lists it as uncharacterized. Lineage: Eukaryota; Metazoa; Chordata; Aves; Galliformes; Numididae. The record is from RefSeq and is a predicted model, not a curated record. The transcript is spliced from 4 exons.